Daphnia magna is the source of this 1716-nucleotide long non-coding RNA. RefSeq lists it as uncharacterized. The record is from RefSeq and is a predicted model, not a curated record. The transcript is spliced from 7 exons. NCBI's taxonomy places the organism in Eukaryota, Metazoa, Arthropoda, Branchiopoda, Diplostraca, Daphniidae.
UAGUGGAUCGUCUGCAGUAGAAAUUUAUGGUUCAUCAGAUGACAGAUGUAGCCUAGUUGUUAGGGAUUCGAGACGUGUUCAGCGAGGAGUUAAUAAAUGUUCAGUGCAUUCCGUUUAAACAUUCUUUUGGCUACUCGUUAAUGCACUGAAAUUUGCCAUUUUUUUGUACCAACCUGAGGGAUACUUUUUCAAGACAAACACGUUUGUUUGAAAGAUGAUUUUUCACUAGACGUCAUUUGAAUGUACAGCACAGUAUAUUUGCAUGUUAUUUCUUGCAUUUUUUAUUUACUGCCAGACAAUGUUUUCAUAUCUUAAAAGUGUAGUUCCUAUCCACAGCCCCCAGUCCUACAGUGUGAAAAAUAGACAGUUGAAAAAAUCUGCUCAUUGUGCUUAUCUGCACAAUGCCGGCUUCAUGUAAGCAAUCGUGAAAUGACCUAUCAACAGACUACUCAGUAUUAAAUUACUCUCCCCUUAUGGAAAUUUGUAGCUGUGGGCUUUCUUUAGAUGACUCUUAUAUUGGAAAUAUUUUCCUGCUUCUUGGAACAAGGAUCAUAGGAUGUCUUGAUGCCAAUGAAGUGUCAUUGGAAAGAUUGUAAAAAGAUGGAGAAACCUAAAGUUGGAGGACAAUACAUUUGUUUUCCGUUACUAGUUUUGAAAAACAAAUGGUAAAUUGGUAAAAUGAAACAACAUGUGACCUAUUACUUUGAAUAAAUUGUUUUCAAAAGUGGAGAUUGAUUCCAAAUCUUCAGCUUCCCAGGCAGACACCCACCCACAAAGCCAUGGGUCAUAGAUGAUAUUCACAGCGGGCACGACUGCGUUGUAAAUUGUUUUUCCCUUUAUCAAAGCCAAGCAGCAGAUUUAGAUCACGUGUCUACUGUGAAAGAGAUCAUGUGUCACAACAAAAAUGGCUCUCUCCGUUUGCGACAUCAGACCUACCCAAUGUGUCAUUCUGAUGCAGAACUCUUGAAAUCAAGUUGAAUGUUUUGAACCAUCUCAGGCCAAAGCUGAAGUUCGAGAGGUAUGAGAAAAUUCGUCGCUUUUUGGUUAGAGUUUCUUCGCCGUCCAAUGCAUCAAUUGGAUUGAUGUUCACUUCUUCGACGGCAUUGCUCAUGUAAUUUAAUGACUUUGUGCUUCGAAAAAAGUUGUACUUAUCUUCAAUUUCUAAAAGAAAACUUUGAUGCAUUAUUCUUAUCUCGAGAUUAUAUCGAUCCGCAAAGAUCAAAUGCACGAGGUAUUCCACAUCGUCCGGCAACUUACUAUCCAGCCACGCAUCCGUCAACAGAAUGUAUUAAAGAGGAAAGUAAUUGACUAAAUGCCGACUCGACGAUUUCCAUGCAAGAUGAAUGUUAUAAAUCCAAGGAGAUCUGGUGAGCAGGAUGCAACGGACUUUGUCGUGUCAAACCAUUAGCUGAAUACAAUGAAUACCAUCAGUUCCCCAGAACGAGAGGUUAAUAAUCAUACUUGAAUCAAAAGAGGCAUCAAGUUAAACGAGAUUUUAAAAUUAUAACAGUUGGAAGCGCGUGUGGUUGUUUCGAAGAACGCUACCUACAACGUUACCUUUCGUUGCUGAUUCGUCUCGAAGAUAAAAUAAGUUAUUUUUAUAAAUUGAAGUGCAUAUCUGGGCUCCCUUCUUUUCUGUGGCCCCGUUUCCCCUUGACUUAUGAUAAGCCCGUAGGGGGUCAAGCCCCUACUGUGAUCAGCAGCAAAGGUUGUGAG